GACUUCGUAGCUCAGCUGGUAGAGCAAAUGACUCUUAAUCAUUGGGUCGAGGGUUCGAAUCCCUCCGAGGUCAC
RNAcentral lists this transfer RNA (74 nucleotides) under Bacteroidetes bacterium ADurb.Bin013. RNAcentral describes it as "tRNA-Lys". It matches the Rfam family "tRNA". From Rfam's summary of the family: Transfer RNA (tRNA) molecules are approximately 80 nucleotides in length. Lineage: Bacteria; Pseudomonadati; Bacteroidota. The record is from RNAcentral. RNAcentral also lists the same sequence under 2 other names.